AUUGAACGCUGGCGGCAUGCUUUACACAUGCAAGUCGAACGGCAGCGCGGGCUUCGGCCUGGCGGCGAGUGGCGAACGGGUGAGUAAUACAUCGGAACGUGCCCAGUAGUGGGGGAUAGCUCGGCGAAAGCCGGAUUAAUACCGCAUACGACCUGAGGGUGAAAGCGGGGGAUCUUCGGACCUCGCGCUCUUGGAGCGGCCGAUGGCAGAUUAGCUAGUUGGUGGGGUAAAGGCCUACCAAGGCGACGAUCUGUAGCUGGUCUGAGAGGACGACCAGCCACACUGGGACUGAGACACGGCCCAGACUCCUACGGGAGGCAGCAGUGGGGAAUUUUGGACAAUGGGCGAAAGCCUGAUCCAGCAAUGCCGCGUGUGCGAUGAAGGCCUUCGGGUUGUAAAGCACUUUUGGCGGGAACGAAAAGGACUGUGCCAAUACCACGGUUCGAUGACGGUACCCGCAGAAUAAGCACCGGCUAACUACGUG
RNAcentral lists this ribosomal RNA (484 nucleotides) under uncultured bacterium. Its description in RNAcentral is "partial 16S ribosomal RNA". It matches the Rfam family "Bacterial small subunit ribosomal RNA", at positions 29 to 507 of the family's 1533-position model. The record is from RNAcentral.